UACAGAGGUCUCAAGCGUUGUUCGGAUUCAUUGGGCGUAAAGGGUGCGUAGGUGGCGUCGUAAGUCAGGUGUGAAAUUUCGGAGCUUAACUCCGAAACUGCAUUUGAUACUGCGGUGCUUGAGGACUGGAGAGGAGACUGGAAUUUACGGUGUAGCAGUGAAAUGCGUAGAGAUCGUAAGGAAGACCAGUGGCGAAGGCGGGUCUCUGGACAGUUCCUGACGCUGAGGCACGAAGGCCAGGGGAGCAAACGGG
This 253-nucleotide ribosomal RNA is filed under the name uncultured bacterium. RNAcentral's name for it is "partial 16S ribosomal RNA". It matches the Rfam family "Bacterial small subunit ribosomal RNA", at positions 524 to 776 of the family's 1533-position model. The record is from RNAcentral.